Molecule: RNA transcript, 869 nt
Organism: Carassius carassius (crucian carp)
Lineage: Eukaryota; Metazoa; Chordata; Actinopteri; Cypriniformes; Cyprinidae
Gene name: cardiac phospholamban-like
Exons: 3
Source: RefSeq, a predicted model, not a curated record
CACAUCUCUUUUCUUUUCCCUCUCCUCCUAUACUCUACCCCUCCACUUUUUCUGCCAUAAACUUCCGAACACCACAUUGCUGCCACAGACCCUUCUUUCCUCUAAAACCAGAGCAACGGGACUGAACCCCAAUCCUCUCCAUCUACAGCUUAGCCUCCGCAUCCACUGGCAACCGGAUCACCUCCUUCAUCACCACAACAACUAGCACUCCUUUCUCCUCACUUCGUGGUUCUUCUGUCCUUCCUUCCUCUCUCCUCUCUCUGCACUAAUCGUCCCACCCACUGCGCCUCGGCAUGGAGAAGGUGCAGCACAUCACACGGGAGGCCAUUCGGCGGGCGUCCAUCAUGGAGGUCCCCCAGCAGGCCAAGCAAAACAUGCAGGAGCUCUUUGUCAACUUCUGCCUCAUCCUCAUCUGCCUGCUGCUCAUCUACAUCAUUGUCUUGCUAAUGUGAGCGGGAGGGGCCACAGGUUUCCCUCUAGCCAAUGAGGGCAGAGGACAGUACAGAGGAGCCAAUCGCGUUGAAGGCUCCUUCCACGGCAUGUGAGAGACCACUGGCAAACAAGAACCACCUCCACUUGGGGCCGAACACACGACGCCACAGCUGAACACGGACAACCCUGCAAAUCGCCAUCCCAUCAAUAUGGAUCUGAUCAAUAACCGAGGACUAAACCUGCUGCUCAACUUCCUCCUUAUUGUAGUGGCCCUACUGCUCAUGCUCAUUCUGGUCAAGCUCAUGUGAUGCCAAAAUGGCCAGAAACAAGAAUAAUGGGUAUGAGAGAGACGUAUGUUUCAGAGACUCCUACUCUCUCGACCUUCAAAACCAUUUUCAAGGUGCCUUACACGACAUUAGACUGACUUCCACACCAGA